UUGACCUCGGAUCAGGUAGGAAUACCCGCUGAACUUAAGCAUAUCAUAAACCACGGAAGAAA
Molecule: ribosomal RNA, 62 nt
Filed under: Trichoderma aureoviride
Lineage: Eukaryota; Fungi; Ascomycota; Sordariomycetes; Hypocreales; Hypocreaceae
Description: partial 28S ribosomal RNA
Source: RNAcentral